UAAAGGUAUUCCGGUAGAUGAUGGGGAUGCGUUCCAUUAGAUAGUAGGCGGGGUAACGGCCCACCUAGUCUUCGAUGGAUAGGGGUUCUGAGAGGAAGGUCCCCCACAUUGGAACUGAGACACGGUCCAAACUCCUACGGGAGGCAGCAGUGAGGAAUAUUGGUCAAUGGGCGAGAGCCUGAACCAGCCAAGUAGCGUGAAGGAUGACUGCCCUAUGGGUUGUAAACUUCUUUUAUAAAGGAAUAAAGUCGGGUAUGCAUACCCGUUUGCAUGUACUUUAUGAAUAAGGAUCGGCUAACUCCGUGCCAGCAGCCGCGGUAAUACGGAGGAUCCGAGCGUUAUCCGGAUUUAUUGGGUUUAAAGGGAGCGUAGAUGGAUGUUUAAGUCAGUUGUGAAAGUUUGCGGCUCAACCGUAAAAUUGCAGUUGAUACUGGAUAUCUUGAGUGCAGUUGAGGCAGGCGGAAUUCGUGGUGUAGCGGUGAAAUGCUUAGAUAUCACGAGGAACUCCGAUUGCGAAGGCAGCCUGCUAAGCUGCAACUGACAUUGAGGCUCGAAAGUGUGGGUAUCAAACAGGAUUAGAUACCCUGGUAGUCCACACGGUAAACGAUGAAUACUCGCUGUUUGCGAUAUACUGCAA
RNAcentral lists this ribosomal RNA (637 nucleotides) under uncultured bacterium. RNAcentral's name for it is "bacterial SSU rRNA". It matches the Rfam family "Bacterial small subunit ribosomal RNA", at positions 202 to 842 of the family's 1533-position model. The record is from RNAcentral.